AGAUGAUGUCAUACAGUGUCCUUCCCUGCACAUUUAGCAUAUGUGAGUACAUGACUUUCUGAGCAGGGUCCUCCAGCAGCGCCAUGUCGUUGGUUAUAAUUCCUUGAGAAACGGGCUCGUGUCCUGUCCUUGGAUUUUCAGUAAGGUCCUAUGAGGAAGGUGAUAGCACAGAAACUGUCCCGGUUCAUCUCCUCCCUUAUUACUCCCCUGGCUGCUGUACUUCUUGACAUGAAGCCCUAAUGGAGCUGAAGCACCAGAGACGUUCAACUUUACGCACAGAUACCGAGCGCAGUAUUGUCUGGAAUAAACACCGAGAUAACCGGUGGACAUGAGCGCUCCCCUGCCCAAACACCAAACACCCAUUCUGCAGGUUGACCUAGUGAAAUUUGUGUGCAGGUCAAGUGGUUCAAUCUCCUUUUCAUCACAGUGGUGGACGGCUACAUAACACUGCACAGAGCAGUAGACGGCUCCAUUUUGAAGUCCCACAAUGCAUUGCGCGAUAAUAUUGGAGCCUGGAGCACACGUGUGAUGCUAUUUUGCUCCCCCUAUGUUUGGCUCCUGUUCUGUGGACAAUGAGCUUGAGCAGAGGUGCAGAAAGCCUAGACAAGAAGACAAUUUGUGUCUGUUUUUAUUGUCUUCUACAGAUCAGCAGAGUAGAGGAGAAAUGGUGGAAGAAAUGGUGGUAACCCAACACGAGAAUCUGUUCUGCUGUUGACUGUACUGACUUGAGGAAUCUUUGAGCUUUGCUUUGCUGUUUUAUCUGUAUCAAUCACCUCUGCUCAUGUCUUGGCUUCAAAAUUUGUCACUAGCACAAUACGUCACUCCCCUUUGCUGCAGUGCUUUGGGUUAAUGUCUUUACAAUUUUAGAACACGGAGACCCACCAAUUCAACAGCUGUAUUUUUUCAGAACAAUCUUGUAGUUUUUCAGAUACCUGUCACGUAGUGGCUGUGGCUCAGUGGUAGUUGAUCAUCUUUAUCUGAAGGCCGGGGUUUGAUCCCAGGUCCCUAUGUUUACAUAAUGAGAUGUCCUUGUGCGAGACACUUAACACCAAACUGCAUCCAGUGACUGUGGUUUGUGAAUGGGAUGAGUUAAUACUGAUGGAAAGAAAGCAAAGUGUCAGCAGUGUGGGAGUAUUACACUGUCUAUGAGAAAGAUCAGUGGCAUGUAGUUUGUAAGACAAGUCUCUCAUUUUAAGCAGAGACUUCUCCUAACAGUUGCUAUACUUCAAAACUCAAGGCUAAUUUGAAAAACAGACAUUAAGAAUCACAAUGCAAGAAACAUCAGAACCAGAAUAUCAGGUAAUCGGUGCGUCUAGAGUCAGAUGUUUGUUUCACAAGUCUCUACUUUGUUUCACACUCUCUAUGCUUGUAUUUGGCAUUUCAAAGUGGAAAAUUUUGUCUUUAUUUUGUUUUAUUUACGAGUUAUUACCAUACAACCUUAAAUAUUGUCUUGACUUUAACUAUUGUUGUAUUGUUGAAAUAUGCUCUUUUUCAUUGUCAAGGCUUUGCUCAGAUCUCUUCAUUGUUACAAUGUAUGAAACUCCUUUGCUUGAGCCACAGACUUCACAUUGCAUCACAUGUUAAAAACAAACCUUUGGUAUAAAUGUACAAAAGCAGGGAGGCAGAUGGAUGUAAUAAAAGCAAGAAAUCAGAGGUUUCAAAUAAGUUUAUUUCUUCGUGAAUAAAAUACUUGAACAGUCUUUAAA
Long non-coding RNA from Notolabrus celidotus (New Zealand spotty), 1706 nucleotides. RefSeq lists it as uncharacterized. NCBI's taxonomy places the organism in Eukaryota, Metazoa, Chordata, Actinopteri, Labriformes, Labridae. The transcript has 3 exons. The record is from RefSeq and is a predicted model, not a curated record.